AGUACAAGUCGUAACAAGGUAUCCGUAGGUGAACCUGCGGAUGGAUCAUUACAGAAGAGAUUAUAUUCUCUACGUUUUGUGAAUGGUUUGGGGGUGUUUGGGUGUGUGGUUUUAGGGGGUGACCUCUGGGCCCACACGCUCUCUUGAUUACACGUAUUUUCCCUACUGAAGUCGUCUAUACAUUGCAGUGAGAAACUGAAACAACUUUUAGCAACGGAUCUCUUGGCUCUC
RNAcentral lists this unclassified non-coding RNA (231 nucleotides) under fungal sp. Its description in RNAcentral is "partial internal transcribed spacer region". The stretch from base 1 to 51 matches the Rfam family "Eukaryotic small subunit ribosomal RNA", at positions 1781 to 1831 of the family's 1831-position model. The record is from RNAcentral. Lineage: Eukaryota; Fungi.